CUGGCGGCAGGCCUAACACAUGCAAGUCGAGCGGUAACAUUUCUAGCUUGCUUGAAGAUGACGAGCGGCGGACGGGUGAGUAAUGCUUGGGAACAUGCCUUGAGGUGGGGGACAACCAUUGGAAACGAUGGCUAAUACCGCAUAAUGUCUACGGACCAAAGGGGGCUUCGGCUCUCGCCUUUAGAUUGGCCCAAGUGGGAUUAGCUAGUUGGUGAGGUAAAGGCUCACCAAGGCGACGAUCCCUAGCUGGUUUGAGAGGAUGAUCAUCCACACUGGAACUGAGACACGGUCCAGACUCCUACGGGAGGCAGCACUGGGGAAUAUUGCACAAUGGGCGCAAGCCUGAUGCAGCCAUGCCGCGUGUGUGAAGAAGGCCUUCGGGUUGUAAAGCACUUUCAGUCAGGAGGAAAGGUUAGUAGUUAAUACCUGCUAGCUGUGACGUUACUGACAGAAGAAGCACCGGCUAACUCCGUGCCAGCAGCCGCGGUAAUACGGAGGGUGCGAGCGUUAAUCGGAAUUACUGGGCGUAAAGCGUACGCAGGCGGUUUGUUAAGCGAGAUGUGAAAGCCCCGGGCUUAACCUGGGAACUGCAUUUCGAACUGGCAAACUAGAGUGUGAUAGAGGGUGGUAGAAUUUCAGGUGUAGCGGUGAAAUGCGUA
Molecule: ribosomal RNA, 659 nt
Filed under: uncultured Pseudoalteromonas sp.
Lineage: Bacteria; Pseudomonadati; Pseudomonadota; Gammaproteobacteria; Alteromonadales; Pseudoalteromonadaceae
Description: bacterial SSU rRNA
Rfam family: Bacterial small subunit ribosomal RNA
Source: RNAcentral